GAUCAGGUAGGAAUACCCGCUGAACUUAAGCAUAUCAAUAAGCGGAGGAAAAGAAACCAACAGGGAUUGCCCCAGUAACGGCGAGUGAAGCGGCAACAGCUCAAAUUUGAAAUCUGGCUUCGGCCCGAGUUGUAAUUUGUAGAGGAUGCUUUUGGUGAGGUGCCUUCUGAGUUCCCUGGAACGGGACGCCAGAGAGGGUGAGAGCCCCGUAUAGUUGGACACCGAGCCUCUGUAAAGCUCCUUCGACGAGUCGAGUAGUUUGGGAAUGCUGCUCAAAAUGGGAGGUAUAUCUCUUCUAAAGCUAAAUACUGGCCAGAGACCGAUAGCGCACAAGUAGAGUGAUCGAAAGAUGAAAAGCACUUUGAAAAGAGGGUUAAAUAGUACGUGAAAUUGUUGAAAGGGAAGCGCUUGUGACCAGACUUGUGCCCGGCUGAUCAUCCAGUGUUCUCACUGGUGCACUCUGCCGGGCUCAGGCCAGCGUCGGUUCUCGCAGGGGGACAAAAGCUUCGGGAACGUAGCUCCUCCGGGAGUGUUAUAGCCCGUUGCUCAAUACCCCUGCGGGGACCGAGGU
This 571-nucleotide ribosomal RNA is filed under the name Sordariomycetes sp. genotype 9. RNAcentral's name for it is "eukaryotic LSU rRNA". It matches the Rfam family "Eukaryotic large subunit ribosomal RNA", at positions 9 to 592 of the family's 3401-position model. The record is from RNAcentral. Lineage: Eukaryota; Fungi; Ascomycota; Sordariomycetes.